This 72-nucleotide transfer RNA is filed under the name Plocepasser mahali. RNAcentral describes it as "tRNA-Glu". It matches the Rfam family "tRNA". From Rfam's summary of the family: Transfer RNA (tRNA) molecules are approximately 80 nucleotides in length. Their secondary structure includes four short double-helical elements and three loops (D, anti-codon, and T loops). Lineage: Eukaryota; Metazoa; Chordata; Aves; Passeriformes; Passeridae. The record is from RNAcentral.
GUUCCCGUAGUUAAAUAUAGAUAACGGCGGCUUUUCAGGCCGUAGGUCUCGGAGAAAGGCCGAGUGGGAAUU